AAUAGAUACCCGGGUAGUCCACGCCGUAAACGAUGGAUGCUAGCUAUUGGGGGGAAUCGACCCCCUCCGAAGCGAAGCUAACGCGUUAAGCAUCCCGCCUGAGUAGUACGAGCGCAAGCUUAAAACUCAAAGGAAUUGACGGGGACCCGCACAAGCGGUGGAGCGUGUGGUUUAAUUCGAUGGUAAACGAAGAACCUUACCAAGGUUUGACAUCCCGGUAGCCGUUCUCCGAAAGGAGAAUUUCAUUUAGUUGGACCGGUGACAGGUGAUGCAUGGCCGUCGUCAGCUCGCGUCGUGAGAUGUUGGGUUAAGUCCCGCAACGAGCGCAACCCUUAUGAUUUAGUUGGAUUUUUCUAAACAGACUGCCCUGGUAACAGGGAGGAAGGAGGGGAUGAUGUCAGGUCAGUAUUUCCCUUACACCUUGGGCGACACACGCGCUACAAUGGCCGGUACAAUGGGCAGCUAAGCCGCGAGGUGGAGCAAAUCCCAUCAAAGCCGGUCCCAGUUCGGAUUGCAGGCUGAAACCCGCUGCAUGAAGCCGGAAUCGCUAGUAACCG
Molecule: ribosomal RNA, 557 nt
Filed under: uncultured bacterium
Lineage: Bacteria
Description: bacterial SSU rRNA
Rfam family: Bacterial small subunit ribosomal RNA
Source: RNAcentral